CUUUCUGUGGCGUCACAGUUAAGGAUAACCGUAGCUGAGGGUGAGCAAGAUGAGGGGAGGGGACGCCAACCAGGUGGCUGGAAUUGGAGAUGAGAGAAGAUGCAGUAGAUGAAAAACGAAGCAAGGAGUGGUAAGCCACACCAAAUAUCUUUGGACAAGCUGGGGCCCCAGCUACGCCUGAAACCCAGAUCUCUUGACUUCAGAUGCAAGGGGCCUUGUCCUGAAAAACUUUCCAAGGCUAAACCAGCCGGAGCAAGCCUGAUGGGCCAGCCAUUUCAAUUCUGUGAGGGGGCUGCUAUCUGCAGCCUCAGGUGUGAGGGCAGCUCCCUGUAGACCAGACAUCACCGACCAGGACAAGCAAGUGCUGGGGCCAGAACCACAGAGGUUGGCCCGCUCCUGGCUAGAAUGCAGCCCCUGUAUGUUUGGUGGGUGUCAGCACACACAACUGGCCUUCAGGAGAGAAACGCCAUGAAUCAGCUCACUCACAACCCCUCCUUCCUGUCUUAACUGUGUCGCCAGUGUCUGCCACAAGUAAGAGCAAAGCAGGCAGAACAAGCCUGGUACCCCUCUAUUUCUGUGACUCCUCCAUUGGCUGCACACUCUUCAUGCCUCCUCUCCCAUCUCCUGAUUCCCUCGGAGCCAGCCUCCCACGCACCCAGAUGAGAAAACUGAGCACAGAGAGGCUGAGUAACUUGCCCGAAGAUAGUAGCUGGCGGAGCUGAGAUUUGAAUCCCAAGAGGCUGAUUUCAAAGCUUCGUUCCUGCGGUAGACACUGCUGGUGGCCCCUAUAUCCUUUCUCUCCUUCUUCCUGAGUAACAGAACACCCAUUGCCUCUUAGAGCCUUCUUACAGCUGGAUGUGUCCCUAUGAAUAAGUUCUGCUGACUGCAAUAUAAAUGGCAGAGUGAUGUGGGAACUCUGGGAAGUUUCCUUCACAAGGAGAAGUCAUGUACUUUUUUCUUCUCCUCCCUGUUUGGAAUGUGGAUGUGAUUGCUGGAACUCCUGAAGCCAUUUUGGACUAUGAAGUAACCUUGAGAAUGUCAAAUUGGAGAGUUGGAAAGAGCCAAGGUCACUAGUGAUGUCACACAUCUGUCUUUCCAGCCCUGAUUGGUCUAACUUUUAUGCUUUGGGGUGGAAAUAAACUUUCAUCUUAUUU
This is a long non-coding RNA of Equus caballus (horse), 1154 nucleotides long. RefSeq lists it as uncharacterized. NCBI's taxonomy places the organism in Eukaryota, Metazoa, Chordata, Mammalia, Perissodactyla, Equidae. The record is from RefSeq and is a predicted model, not a curated record.